RNAcentral lists this ribosomal RNA (253 nucleotides) under uncultured Eubacteriales bacterium. Its description in RNAcentral is "uncultured Clostridiales bacterium partial 16S ribosomal RNA". It matches the Rfam family "Bacterial small subunit ribosomal RNA", at positions 524 to 776 of the family's 1533-position model. The record is from RNAcentral. Lineage: Bacteria; Bacillati; Bacillota; Clostridia; Eubacteriales.
UACAGAGGUCUCAAGCGUUGUUCGGAAUCACUGGGCGUAAAGCGUGCGUAGGCGGCUUAGUAAGUCAGAAGUGAAAGCCCGCAGCUCAACUGCGGGACUGCUUUUGAAACUGCCAAGCUAGAGUGUCGGAGAGGUAAGUGGAAUUCCUAGUGUAGCGGUGAAAUGCGUAGAUAUUAGGAGGAACACCAGUGGCGAAGGCGGCUUACUGGACGAUGACUGACGCUGAGGCUCGAAAGCGUGGGGAGCAAACAGG